Molecule: ribosomal RNA, 309 nt
Filed under: uncultured eukaryote
Lineage: Eukaryota
Description: partial 18S ribosomal RNA
Rfam family: Eukaryotic small subunit ribosomal RNA
Source: RNAcentral
CCCUUAGAUGUUCUGGGCUGCACGCGUGCUACACUGAUUAUUUCAACAAGUGUUUUAACUGGCGAGUUUGCGUAAUCCUGAAAUGUUAUCGUGAUGGGAGUAGAGUAUUGUAUUUGUUAAUCUUUAACGAGGAAUUCCUAGUAAGUGUAGGUUUAUAAGUUGUUCUGAUUACGUCCCUGCCCUUUGUACACACCGCCCGUCGCUCCUACCGAUUGAUUGAUCCGUGAAUUACAUAGAAUUUUGCGUUUUACAUGACGGAAGAUGAAGUGUUUUAAACCUUAUCAUUUAGAGGAAGGAGAAGUCGUAACA